Molecule: small RNA, 27 nt
Filed under: Bombyx mori (domestic silkworm)
Lineage: Eukaryota; Metazoa; Arthropoda; Insecta; Lepidoptera; Bombycidae
Description: ovarian small RNA-18617
Source: RNAcentral
UAACAGGUAACAAUUGCUCGGCCUUGG